Molecule: ribosomal RNA, 373 nt
Filed under: uncultured cyanobacterium
Lineage: Bacteria; Bacillati; Cyanobacteriota
Description: bacterial SSU rRNA
Rfam family: Bacterial small subunit ribosomal RNA
Source: RNAcentral
GAGGACGGCCUUAGGGUUGUAAACCUCUUUUCUCUAGGAAGAAGAUCUGACGGUACUAGAGGAAUCAGCAUCGGCUAACUCCGUGCCAGCAGCCGCGAUAAUACGGAGGAUGCAAGCGUUAUCCGGAUUUAUUGGGCGUAAAGCGUCCGCAGGCGGUUCACCAAGUCUGCUGUUAAAGGCCGAGGCUUAACUUCGGUUGAGCAGUGGAAACUGAUGAACUAGAGUGCGAUAGGGGUAGAGGGAAUUCCCAGUGUAGCGGUGAAAUGCGUAGAUAUUGGGAAGAACACCAGUGGCGAAGGCGCUCUACUGGGUCGCAACUGACGCUGAGGGACGAAAGCUAGGGGAGCGAAAGGGAUUAGAUACCCCUGUAGUC